GGGCGUUUCCGAUUAUGUAUAUAUAUGCAAUUCAUAACAUAAAAAUCUUGAUCAGGGUGGUAAGUUUACAUCUUCUGCUUAUUACGCCUAUUCCUGUUCUCUUUUUCUUCUCAAUGUUCUCAUCAUUUUUUUUCGUCGUCAAUGUUAUUCAAUUACAGAGUUUUCAUCUAAAACUAAAUCAUGGCAUCCUUUGAUCAACAUAAACUCAAAGAGAUUCAGAAAGAAAUAACUAGGAUCGCUAGGAGUUUGAGGCUUAAUCUUUUGCUCUCAAAACCUUUCUAUGUCGCAUUACGAUCCAUUAGAUUUAAACACAACAAUAUUUUCAAGUAUACGGCUAUACCCGUAACUGCUACAUAAUUCUAAUUCAUCAAGAAAAAUAUUAUGUGUCUGUAUUUUUCUUUGUAUUUUUCGACUUUUCUUCUUCUCUGACGUAGUUCCUUAAUUUAAUUAUGUUGGUUCUGGGUUGUUGAUUUUUUUCAGGUUUGUUUUACAUGUUCAAUGUAGAAUCAAAAACAUAUGCAACUUUUUUAGGGUUGUAGUAAUCGCAUUGAUGUCCGUUAGGUAUUAAGAUUGAUUUGUUUUUUUUUUCUAUUUGUAAUUUGAUUGGUUAAUGUAAAGCAUAUCUUCUUCAUCAUCUUAUCAAGCAGGAUGGAAAAUUUUUAAGCCUUUGAUCAACAAACAAGAUUGAAAUCAACGCAGGGCAAGCUUUUUAUACUUCUUAAUUGGACUUUUACAUUCUGUUUUGGUAUGUCCAGUCGAUCAAAGGCUUAGAAAUUCUAGGAUUUAGCAGAAUCGAGUAACGUGUAUAUGUAUCUUCGACGGUACUAAUGUGGAGCACGCCUUUUAAUCAAAAUUUUGUUAUAUCCAGCAGAAUGAAGAUUUUGCAAUUGGAUGAAGGUAAGAGUGAAGCAGAAGGUGACAACAUUGGGUUGCAAGAUGGGAGGAGAAAACCUAUUAUUUGAAAUACAUUCACAAGAUGGCAGUAUUCACAACUAGGAGGAGUUGGAAGAAAAAAAACCUCUUGAUGAUGUUAAAAGUGAUUAAUUGCGGCACACAUUUUUUCGACCUCGAGUUGACAGCAUCUGCACUCAUGUGUUUCUCGAAACAAGCCUUAAAGAUUCCAGGUAUACUCAACGUUCAAAGUAAUCCUUAAAGAUUCCUGGUAUACCUGCUAUCAGAAUCAUUUCAGCACAACACCUGUACAGCUAUACUACAAUAUGCAUAUGCAAACUUAGAAAUUUUCAAUUAAAUUGAUUAAUCCUAAGAGAAUUGUUUCAUAAAAACAUUGAAAGACUUGAAGAUUUGAUUAGAUAA
Long non-coding RNA from Papaver somniferum (opium poppy), 1314 nucleotides. RefSeq lists it as uncharacterized. Lineage: Eukaryota; Viridiplantae; Streptophyta; Magnoliopsida; Ranunculales; Papaveraceae. The transcript is spliced from 3 exons. The record is from RefSeq and is a predicted model, not a curated record.